RNAcentral lists this ribosomal RNA (503 nucleotides) under uncultured bacterium. Its description in RNAcentral is "bacterial SSU rRNA". It matches the Rfam family "Bacterial small subunit ribosomal RNA", at positions 29 to 507 of the family's 1533-position model. The record is from RNAcentral.
AGCGAACGUUAGCGGCGGGCCUAACACAUGCAAGUCGAACGAGAAAAUACCCUUCGGGGGUGAGUACAGUGGCGCACGGGUGAGGAACGCGUAGGUAAUCUACCGUUUGGCGGGGGACAACACUCCGAAAGGAAUGCUAAUACCGCGUAAGACCACGCUUACUAAGGUGAGAGUGGUAAAAGGUGGCCUCUUCUUGAAAGCUACCACCAAACGAUGAGCCUGCGUCCCAUCAGCUUGUUGGUAAGGUAACGGCUUACCAAGGCGAAGACGGGUAGCUGGUCUGAGAGGAUGAUCAGCCACACUGGCACUGGAACACGGGCCAGACUCCUACGGGAGGCAGCAGUGAGGAAUAUUGGGCAAUGGGCGCAAGCCUGACCCAGCCACGCCGCGUGUGUGAUGAAGGCCUUCGGGUCGUAAAGCACUGUGGGGAGGGACGAAACAGCGCAGUAGGAAAUGACUGCGCCUUGACGGUACCUCCUUAGCAAGCACCGGCUAACUCUGUG